GCCAUCAGCCAUAGUACGUUGAAUACGCCGGUUAUUGUCUGAUCACCGAAGCUAAAUAAUUUUGGGUCUGUGUAAUACUUGGAAUGUAGGCCGCUGCAUAACAGUUGGUGUUGAUGGUA
RNAcentral lists this ribosomal RNA (119 nucleotides) under Tropilaelaps mercedesae. Lineage: Eukaryota; Metazoa; Arthropoda; Arachnida; Mesostigmata; Laelapidae. The record is from RNAcentral.